RNAcentral lists this unclassified non-coding RNA (643 nucleotides) under Hevea brasiliensis (rubber tree). Lineage: Eukaryota; Viridiplantae; Streptophyta; Magnoliopsida; Malpighiales; Euphorbiaceae. The record is from RNAcentral.
GGGGGAGAGAGAGAGAGAGAGAGCAGCCACAUACUCGCACAUCCCCCAUGCUCACAUGGUACGUAAGAAGUUUGAAAAGCAUUCCAGUUUUCAUUCUCAUCUCGCUUGCAACAUUUCAUUUUUUUUGUUUUAUUUUAUAAGAAAAAAGUAUGGGCAUCAAAUCCACACACCUAUUUGCAGUUGCCAACAAGUAUAUAAUUGAGCUAAACCCAAUAGAUUAGCAUAUGAUUCAGGAACGAAUGAAAGCAUGUUAACUUGCUUCAAGUAGUAUGUUACAGUCCUAAUGCAAGAAAGCUUGUGUCCUUAAUUUAAAGUAAGGGAUUAGGUGUACGGUAUAUAUACAGACUUGGGCUUUCCAACCUCAAUAACUAGCUUUUGGGAUGUGAUUCUCACAAGUUCGUAUCAAUGGUAUUAGAGCCGUUCACUAUGACUUCCAGUUGCAAUCAUGUGGCGCAGGUGGUGACGCCAAAAUAGCAGUGUUCGCCCAGGGCUAGAUUAAGCUAGUGCAAAGCCAGCUUGCAUGGGCCCACGACUGCGGAGCGUGGUGGAAUGUUACAAUCCAAUUGCAAGAGAACUUGUAUCCCACAUUGAAAGUGUGGGAUUUCAGUGUAGGGUAUAAAUGGACUUGGGCUCUCCAACCUCA